AUUGAACGCUGGCGGCAGGCCUAACACAUGCAGGUCGAACGGUAACAGGAAGAAGCUUGCUUCUUUGCUGACGAGUGGCGGACGGGUGAGUAAUGUCUGGGAAACUGCCUGAUGGAGGGGGAUAACUACUGGAAACGGUAGUUAAUACCGCAUAACGUCGCAAGACCAAAGAGGGGGACCUUCGGGCCUCUUGCCAUCGGAUGUGCCCAGAUGGGAUUAGCUAGUAGGUGGGGUAACGGCUCACCUAGGCGACGAUCCCUAGCUGGUCUGAGAGGAUGACCAGCCACACUGGAACUGAGACACGGUCCAGACUCCUACGGGAGGCAGCAGUGGGGAAUAUUGCACAAUGGGCGCAAGCCUGAUGCAGCCAUGCCGCGUGUAUGAAGAAGGCCUUCGGGUUGUAAAGUACUUUCAGCGGGGAGGAAGGGAGUAAAGUUAAUACCUUUGCUCAUUGACGUUACCCGCAGAAGAAGCACCGGCUAACUCCGUG
Molecule: ribosomal RNA, 490 nt
Filed under: uncultured bacterium
Lineage: Bacteria
Description: partial 16S ribosomal RNA
Rfam family: Bacterial small subunit ribosomal RNA
Source: RNAcentral